CUGACAUGAGUAACGACAAUGCGAGUGAAAAACUCGCACGCUGAAAGACCAAGGGUUCCAGUCCAACGUUAAUCGGGGCUGGGUGAGUCGACCCCUAAGGCGAGGCCGAAAGGCGUAGUCGAUGGGAAAUUGGUUAAUAUUCCAAUACUUCUGUGUAAUGCGAUGAGAGGACGGAGAAGGUUAAGUCAGCCUGGCGUUGGUUGUCCAGGUGAAAGGAAGUAGGCAUGCAUCUUAGGCAAAUCCGGGGUGCUCUAUGCUGAGAUCUGAUAGCAAGCUGUACUUGUACAGCGAAGUGGCAAAUACCCUGCUUCCAGGAAAAGCUUCUAAGCGAUAGUCAUAAAGAAAUCGUACCCUAAACCGACACAGGUGGUCAGGUAGGGAAUACCAAGGCGCUUGAGAGAA
This 402-nucleotide ribosomal RNA is filed under the name Chloropicon mariensis. RNAcentral's name for it is "partial Bacterial large subunit ribosomal RNA". It matches the Rfam family "Bacterial large subunit ribosomal RNA", at positions 1297 to 1698 of the family's 2925-position model. Lineage: Eukaryota; Viridiplantae; Chlorophyta; Chloropicophyceae; Chloropicales; Chloropicaceae. The record is from RNAcentral.